GUCUACUGCAAAAUAGUUUUUGAAAUAUUAAAAGCUUAACGAGCUUGACUUGUAUUUUUCAGCUGAUAUUAUGGUCAAGUUAUCUGAAAGAUGGGUGUCAGAUGUUUGGACAGGGGGCGCAAUUUCAGUGCUUGCCCUAGGUGCUAUUUUCCCUAGAUACGCCUCUGCAAAUAGGGCAUUAUGUUAUUAUUAAGAUAGUAUGUGUUGCUACUCAGUGACCUAACAGUUCUGUUUUUUCUUGGAAUCAGUUAUCAUUUAGCCAGGUCUUACUGUAACCUGAUUUAUAAGCAUGUUUCUGGAAGUGCUCCUAUUAUCGAUUGAUCUUGACUGUCUUUGUCUAAGAGGAGGUUUUUCCCUCCAGAACCUCAGUUGAAGAGCUCCAGCUUAGGAAAGUAUACAAAGAUGUUUUCAGCUGAUAUUAUGGUGUCAUCUGGAUGCACUGAAAAACUAGAAGUCACAAUAUAUAUGUCCCAGCUGGGCAAGCCAAUGACAGAGGUCGUUCACACGAUCUCAUUUCCGGGGGCUGGCAGAAAGGCAGGAGGAUUGGUCCAAAAGAUGGCUCUGCAAUCAAAAUAGCACUGAGGUGAUUUUCUUCCAAAAAAUGCCAGAAUGGAGACUCUUGGAGGCCAUUGCUGGACUGCUGGGGACCCAUGGAGCAUGAUUCCUUUUGAUGUUCAAUUGUGGAGACAUCCUCUGUCCUCUUUAUCAUAUUUCUCAUAGUGUGUAUUUUCACUGUUUUGAGAUGUGCUGACUGAUUCUUUAAUAAAAUGUCCUUUUAAACUGA
Long non-coding RNA from Hemicordylus capensis (graceful crag lizard), 784 nucleotides. RefSeq lists it as uncharacterized. The transcript has 4 exons. NCBI's taxonomy places the organism in Eukaryota, Metazoa, Chordata, Lepidosauria, Squamata, Cordylidae. The record is from RefSeq and is a predicted model, not a curated record.